RNAcentral lists this ribosomal RNA (254 nucleotides) under uncultured bacterium. RNAcentral's name for it is "partial 16S ribosomal RNA". It matches the Rfam family "Bacterial small subunit ribosomal RNA", at positions 524 to 776 of the family's 1533-position model. The record is from RNAcentral.
UACGUAGGGGGCGAGCGUUGUCCGGAAUCAUUGGGCGUAAAGAGCUCGUAGGCGGCUCAGUAAGUCGGGUGUGAAACCCUCAGGCUCAACCUGGGGACGCCACCCGAUACUGCUGUGGCUAGAGUCCAGUAGGGGAGUGUGGAAUUCCCGGUGUAGCGGUGAAAUGCGCAGAUAUCGGGAGGAACACCAGCGGCGAAGGCGGCACUCUGGGCUGGAACUGACGCUGAGGAGCGAAAGCGUGGGUAGCAAACAGG